CCAGGUGUCCUCAGGUGUCCCCAGGUGUAUCCAGGUGUCCCCAGGUGUAUCCAGGUGUGUCUCAGGUGUCCCCAGGUGUCCCCAGGUGUAUCCAGGUGUGUCUCAGGUGUCCCCAGCUGUAUCCAGGU
Long non-coding RNA from Poecile atricapillus (Black-capped chickadee), 128 nucleotides. RefSeq lists it as uncharacterized. Lineage: Eukaryota; Metazoa; Chordata; Aves; Passeriformes; Paridae. The record is from RefSeq and is a predicted model, not a curated record. The transcript has 3 exons.